RNAcentral lists this ribosomal RNA (497 nucleotides) under uncultured bacterium. RNAcentral's name for it is "partial 16S ribosomal RNA". It matches the Rfam family "Bacterial small subunit ribosomal RNA", at positions 28 to 507 of the family's 1533-position model. The record is from RNAcentral.
GAUGAACGCUGGCGGCGUGCCUAAUACAUGCAAGUCGAGCGAACAGAUAAGGAGCUUGCUCCUUUGACGUUAGCGGCGGACGGGUGAGUAACACGUGGGUAACCUACCUAUAAGACUGGGAUAACUACGGGAAACCGGAGCUAAUACCAGAUAACAUUUGGAACCGCAUGGUUCUAAAGAGAAAGAUGGUUUUGCUAUCUCUUAUAGAUGGACCCGCGCCGGAUUAGCUAGUUGGUAAGGUAACGGCUUACCAAGGCAACGAUACGUAGCCGACCUGAGAGGAUGAUCAGCCACACUGGAACUGAGACACGGUCCAGACUCCUACGGGAGGCAGCAGUAGGGAAUCUUCCGCAAUGGGCGCAAGCCUGACGGAGCAACGCCGCGUGGGUGAUGAAGGCUUUCGGGUCGUAAAACUCUGUUAUUAGGGAAGAACAAACGUGGAAGUAACUGUGCACGUCUUGACGGUACCUAAUCAGAAAGCCACGGCUAACUACGUG